This is a long non-coding RNA of Hordeum vulgare subsp. vulgare (domesticated barley), 1441 nucleotides long. RefSeq lists it as uncharacterized. The transcript is spliced from 7 exons. Lineage: Eukaryota; Viridiplantae; Streptophyta; Magnoliopsida; Poales; Poaceae. The record is from RefSeq and is a predicted model, not a curated record.
AAUAUACGCGCGCACGCAUGGGAAGCUUAGCGCGCCAAGCAAUCUGAAAAUUUUCUGAUCUAUCCCAUAUCUCUCUGUCCUCUCUCCGUUGUAUCUUCCUCUCCAAAAAAUCCCUAUCCAGAUCUGAGCGGCGGUGGCUCCCAUCCUCUUCAUCCACUUCGCUCCCUCAGAUCAAGCUCUGCCACAAAGUUAAGGAGGGUCUCGCCGCCCGAUUUGGAGGAAGGUCUCACCGCCCUGUGGAUUUGCAUGCUUGAAGCAAGAGAGUUCCACCCUGGAGUGGAGGAACUGGUACGCGGUCGUCGAUCUGUGCGCGUCUAGCCAUGGAUAUGGCAGCCAGGCCGCCGCCCCUGCCCUUGCGCUUCGGGCAGAGGCUCGUUCUUCCUGCUGCUGGUCACUCUUGGCGACUAGCGUUCCUCCCGGUGGUGGCUCUCUACCCACUACGUCAGCUUUCUCCCAGCUGCCGCGCCCAUCAACACCUAUCUCGUCAUUCCCGUUUGGUUCGAAUUUUAUGUGCAACUGUAAGCAUUUCUUGUUUGUAUUAAUUCCCUCAGAUCUUUGUUUGUCAGUUUGCAGUAGAACUAUUCAUCUUUCCUGGGGGAUUAGAUGAUUUGCCACACUUUAUCAGGGGUUUGAUGAUUUGCCCCAGGAUUGUGUGAAUGGCAAGUGGACCCGGCCCCACCCGUCAAUCUCAGGGGGAGGGGCAAAUGAUCAAAGUGAAAAGUAAAGUAUUGAUCCGGCAACACACAGGAAGAUGCAAAGAAGCAUGAUGGGAAAAAGGCCGGUUUCGACUUUGGACAUUUGAACAAAUUAUACACUGGAUAUUGCUUGUAUUAUAAUAGAAGGAGAAAUCUUCUUAGUUUCUGAAUCCUGAGAAGUAGAAAGUCGGGUGCUUAACGGUGAUCCUACCAUGCAUAUGGCAUAAGCUCUUUUGGACGACAAAAAGGUAAGCUAUCUUACAGUUAAACAGUUGGAAGAAGUAUUACAAUAUAUUCUCCGAAGUAUUAUUUCAUUACCAAUUUUCUAAGGUUACUCCCAGCUUUCUUCUUUACCAGGGAAUUUCUAUCAUGAUUCCUCUCUUUCCUUGCUUUACCUUGUUAGAUUUUUGUUUCUGUUCAUAUACAAUAUGAAUAUUUUUCUCUCAUAUACUCCUUCUGCUGGAAACUUGCUGAUUUUAGGGGUGCUGCUACUACUGCAAAGACUGUUUCAUAAAAAACAAGUAGUGGUUGAUCGACACUUUGGGAUGAGCGUGCAUGUGUGGAAGGAAAUAAAAGGACAACGCUCAAACAAAAGGACAACACUCACAAGGAACCAUGAAGCCAGCGAUCGUGUCUCCUUUUUGUGAACGUGAUGUAUGGUGUUCUGGUGGUUAUGCUUGGAACAGACUAAAGCCUGUGUAUGUGACAAUUAUCUAAUGGAAUAAAAAAAUGUUUGGUGCACCUAA